UACGGAGGGUGCAAGCGUUAAUCGGAAUUACUGGGCGUAAAGCGCACGUAGGCGGCUCGGUAAGCUGGAUGUGAAAGCCCUGGGCUCAACCUGGGAACUGCAUUCAGAACUGCCAAGCUAGAGUAUGGUAGAGGGCAGUGGAAUUUCCGGUGUAGCGGUGAAAUGCGUAGAUAUCGGAAGGAACACCAGUGGCGAAGGCGGCUGCCUGGACCAAUACUGACGCUGAGGUGCGAAAGCGUGGGGAGCAAACAGG
RNAcentral lists this ribosomal RNA (253 nucleotides) under uncultured bacterium. RNAcentral describes it as "partial 16S ribosomal RNA". It matches the Rfam family "Bacterial small subunit ribosomal RNA", at positions 524 to 776 of the family's 1533-position model. The record is from RNAcentral.